This 68-nucleotide transfer RNA is filed under the name Bradysia impatiens. RNAcentral describes it as "tRNA-Asp". Lineage: Eukaryota; Metazoa; Arthropoda; Insecta; Diptera; Sciaridae. The record is from RNAcentral.
AAAAAAUUAGUUAAUAAAUAACAUUAGAAUGUCAUCCUAAAGUAAUUAAAUUUAAUUAAUAUUUUUUU